RNAcentral lists this long non-coding RNA (597 nucleotides) under Brassica napus (rape). Its description in RNAcentral is "long non-coding RNA (BNAP_LNC003880)". The record is from RNAcentral. Lineage: Eukaryota; Viridiplantae; Streptophyta; Magnoliopsida; Brassicales; Brassicaceae.
AUCUCACACUCCCUCAACUCCUUCUCAUACUCCAACUCCUUCGACUCCAUCUCACACACCAACUCCAUCACACACUAGUCCUCCUUGCCACUGUGGAACUCCACCUUCACACCCUUCCACACCUUCACGGCCUUCAAGGCCUUCACACCCAUCCAGGCCUUCACGCCCUUCCACGCCUUCAAAUCCUCCUUCUGGUGGAUACUACUCAUCUCCUCCACCAAGUACUCCUGUCGUUGUGACGCCACCAACACCCAUUGUUGACCCAGGCACACCCAGUACUGGAGGAACCCCUCCUUCUUCUGGUGGAUAUUACUCAUCUCCUCCACCAAGUACUCCAGUCGUUGAGACUCCACCAACACCUAUUGUUGACCCAGGCACACCCAUCGUUGGAGAAACCCCACCAACUCCUUCUUCUGGUGGAUAUUACUCAUCUCCUCCACCAAGUACUCCAGUCAUUGAGACUCCACCAACACCCAUUGUUGACCCAGGCACACCCAUCAUUGGAGGAACCCCACCAACUCCUUUCAUUGACCCUGGCACUCCUGGAACCCCCUUCCUUCCUGCUCCUUUUCCACCAAUCACUGGAACAUGCGAGUA